GAUGAACGCUGGCGGCGUGCCUAAUACAUGCAAGUCGAACGAACAGACGAGGAGCUUGCUCCUCUGAUGUUAGCGGCGGACGGGUGAGUAACACGUGGAUAACCUACCUAUAAGACUGGGAUAACUUCGGGAAACCGGAGCUAAUACCGGAUAACAUGUUGAACCGCAUGGUUCAACAGUGAAAGACGGUCUUGCUGUCACUUAUAGAUGGAUCCGCGCCGCAUUAGCUAGUUGGUAAGGUAACGGCUUACCAAGGCAACGAUGCGUAGCCGACCUGAGAGGGUGAUCGGCCACACUGGAACUGAGACACGGUCCAGACUCCUACGGGAGGCAGCAGUAGGGAAUCUUCCGCAAUGGGCGAAAGCCUGACGGAGCAACGCCGCGUGAGUGAAGAAGGUCUUCGGAUCGUAAAACUCUGUUAUUAGGGAAGAACAAAUGUGUAAGUAACUAUGCACGUCUUGACGGUACCUAAUCAGAAAGCCACGGCUAACUACGUG
This 497-nucleotide ribosomal RNA is filed under the name uncultured bacterium. RNAcentral describes it as "partial 16S ribosomal RNA". It matches the Rfam family "Bacterial small subunit ribosomal RNA", at positions 28 to 507 of the family's 1533-position model. The record is from RNAcentral.